UGCAAGUCGAGCGCGCAGUCCUCUGUAGCAAUACAGGGGAUGGGCGCACGGCGCACGGGUGCGUAACACGUGGGUUACCUGCCCUUCGAUGGGGGAUAACCCCGCGAAAGCGGGGCUAAUACCGCAUAACAUUCCGGCGAUUUCGAUUGCUGAAAUCAAAGCCCGCAAGGGCGUCGGAGGAGGGGCCCGCGCCCGAUUAGCUUGUUGGUGAGGUAACGGCUCACCAAGGCGAUGAUCGGUAGCCGGUCUGAGAGGAUGGCCGGCCACACUGGAACUGAGACACGGUCCAGACUCCUACGGGAGGCAGCAGUGGGGAAUCUUGCGCAAUGGGCGAAAGCCUGACGCAGCGACGCCGCGUGGGGGAUGAAGCUUCUCGGAGUGUAAACCCCUUUCGACCCGGACGAAUAGCCCGCAAGGGAAUUGACGGUACGGGUAGAAGAAGCCCCGGCUAACUACGUGCCAGCAGCCGCGGUAAAACGUAGGGGGCCAGCGUUGCUCGGAAUUACUGGGCGUAAAGGGUCCGUAGGCGGUGCGGCAAGUCGGGGGUGAAAUCUCACGGCUUAACUGUGAGGCUGCUUCCGAAACUGCCGUGCUCGAGUGCGGGAGAGGCGAGUGGAAUUGCAGGUGUAGCGGUGAAAUGCGUAGAUAUCUGCAGGAACACCCGUGGCGAAGGCGGCUCGCUGGACCGCAACUGACGCUGAGGGACGAAAGCUAGGGGAGCAAACAGGAUUAGAUACCCUGGUAGUCCUAGCCCUAAACCAUCAGACUUGGCGUGUUCCGCGUACGCGGAACGUGCCGGAGCU
RNAcentral lists this ribosomal RNA (803 nucleotides) under uncultured bacterium. Its description in RNAcentral is "bacterial SSU rRNA". It matches the Rfam family "Bacterial small subunit ribosomal RNA", at positions 56 to 853 of the family's 1533-position model. The record is from RNAcentral.